This 253-nucleotide ribosomal RNA is filed under the name uncultured bacterium. Its description in RNAcentral is "partial 16S ribosomal RNA". It matches the Rfam family "Bacterial small subunit ribosomal RNA", at positions 524 to 776 of the family's 1533-position model. The record is from RNAcentral.
UACGUAGGUGGCGAGCGUUGUCCGGAAUUACUGGGCGUAAAGGGCGCGUAGGCGGUUCUUUAAGUCAGAUGUGAAAACCCAGGGCUUAACUUUGGGAGUGCAUUUGAAACUGAAGGACUCGAGUGCAGGAGAGGUAAGUGGAAUUCCUAGUGUAGCGGUGAAAUGCGUAGAUAUUAGGAGGAACACCAGUGGCGAAGGCGACUUACUGGACUGUAACUGACGCUGGGGCGCGAAAGCGUGGGGAGCAAACAGG